GAUGAAGAACGUAGCGAAAUGCGAUAAGUAAUGUGAAUUGCAGAAUUCAGUGAAUCAUCGAAUCUUUGAACGCACAUUGCGCCCGCCAGUAUUCUGGCGGGCAUGCCUGUUCGAGCGUCAUUACAACCCUCAGGCCCCCGGGCCUGGCGUUGGGGAUCGGCGGAAGCCCCCUGUGGGCACACGCCGUCCCUCAAAUACAGUGGCGGUCCCGCCGCAGCUUCCAUUGCGUAGUAGCUAACACCUCGCAACUGGAGAGCGGCGCGGCCAUGCCGUAAAACACCCAACUUCUGAAUGUUGACCUCGAAUCAGGUAGGAAUACCCGCUGAAUUUAAGCAUAUCAAUAAGCGGAGGA
RNAcentral lists this unclassified non-coding RNA (352 nucleotides) under soil metagenome. Its description in RNAcentral is "partial contains 5.8S ribosomal RNA, internal transcribed spacer 2, and large subunit ribosomal RNA". The stretch from base 1 to 120 matches the Rfam family "5.8S ribosomal RNA", at positions 35 to 154 of the family's 154-position model. The record is from RNAcentral.